This 468-nucleotide ribosomal RNA is filed under the name uncultured bacterium. RNAcentral describes it as "partial 16S ribosomal RNA". It matches the Rfam family "Bacterial small subunit ribosomal RNA", at positions 28 to 507 of the family's 1533-position model. The record is from RNAcentral.
GACGAACGCUAGCGGCGUGCUUAACACAUGCAAGUCGAACGGAAAGGCCCUGCUUUUGUGGGGUGCUCGAGUGGCGAACGGGUGAGUAACACGUGAGUAACCUGCCCUUGACUUUGGGAUAACUUCAGGAAACUGGGGCUAAUACCGGAUAGGAGCUCCUGCUGCAUGGUGGGGGUUGGAAAGUUUCGGCGGUUGGGGAUGGACUCGCGGCUUAUCAGCUUGUUGGUGGGGUAGUGGCUUACCAAGGCUUUGACGGGUAGCCGGCCUGAGAGGGUGACCGGCCACAUUGGGACUGAGAUACGGCCCAGACUCCUACGGGAGGCAGCAGUGGGGAAUAUUGCACAAUGGGCGGAAGCCUGAUGCAGCAACGCCGCGUGCGGGAUGACGGCCUUCGGGUUGUAAACCGCUUUCGCCUGUGACGAAGCGUGAGUGACAGUAAUGGGUAAAGAAGCACCGGCUAACUACGUG